Molecule: non-coding RNA, 24 nt
Filed under: Cricetulus griseus (Chinese hamster)
Lineage: Eukaryota; Metazoa; Chordata; Mammalia; Rodentia; Cricetidae
Source: RNAcentral
AGUGUGAAACUGAAGAAGUGGUAG